UUUAAGGGAGAUGAUUAUAGAAUAAGAUCACGACGUGGUCUAUUUAAGUUAUAAAAGAAAGAUGGUCUAUAAUGUUUGAAUAAUUAUAGCUUGAUGCUAUGAAGGUAAUGUACUAUGAAAUAGUACAAGAUAAACUCAUGAGGAGUUAUAGAUAAUGUGAUACGAGGAAUUCGUAUCGAGCAAAGAACAAGUUAAGAGUAAGAUAGAG
This 208-nucleotide long non-coding RNA is filed under the name Panax ginseng (ginseng). RNAcentral's name for it is "long non-coding RNA (PGIN_LNC002792)". The record is from RNAcentral. Lineage: Eukaryota; Viridiplantae; Streptophyta; Magnoliopsida; Apiales; Araliaceae.